AUGUAGUACAAUGGCUUUGUUUUUGUGUUGGCGUUUGGCCAAUAUUAUGUAAGAUAAACUUAAAUUGGUUGAUUCAUAUGAAUUUUUUCCAGACCACUGCGACUUCACUGUCUACUUUUCUGCCUCUUUAAAAUCGAAGACCAGAUCAGCAUAGCCCAAGAUGACCUUUUUGCGAUUUGCGAUGCAAUCACCGUUCUCCUGAAGCGUUUCAGGCAGGAACAUGUCACCGCAUGCAUUUUUCAAAGCGUUUCGGUCGAUGUUGGAGAGUAAAAUUGGACAUUUUCUACUAACAAUUCAUGGAAAAAUUAAAAUAUGCAGGCGGAUCGAACGGAAACGGCGCAGAGCGACCGACUGAGACGAGAGAGAUGGGUCCCAUGCUGCCCCGCCGCUGCUGCGCUGCCUGCCUGCCUCGGCGGCGCGGAGAGAGAUUGCGCGUCGAAUUUGCGAGACGCAUCAGGACCUACACCAACAAAAGAGCGAGCAGCGCUAUGAAUGGGCUUAAAGGGCAGCUCUCACAAAACAGGCAGGUGAAUAGAGGAGAAUGAGCUGAGGCCCCAGGAUAAUAAAACAUAAUAUACAUCUACCCACCCUGUGCACACACGGUAAUGAACUGCGCGUAUAUUUAUUUAUUUAUUUAUUGCACGAGCAUAUAAGUCCGAGGCGAAACAAUGCGCCGAGAAAUUCGAUACAUCUCGCAGCCAGCUAUAUAUACGAGGGGUUGGCGCGCACGAAAAUCCUGCCGCGCGGAGAGAGAAGACGUAGAGGUGCGCAAAGAAAAAAAGGUUGACCUAGGACGCGAGUGCGCCAGAAAGAGAGAGAGAGAGAAAGAGAUGCAUUGCUCCCGAUUAUAAUUGAUUGCGCUGUUGAUGGACACGCGAGGACUGAGAUUGAGAGACUUGUGUGACAACGAUGAACGGGUGCCCUUUUUAUGAUCGCUUUCUGCUGCGAUGUACCAUGCUGGCCGAUGCUAUAUACAAGAUAGUAAAAAUUGCAUCUCGAAAACUGUUCAUUUAAUCUCACGAAUAAUGACAAUUUAAGCAUUAAUUUAUGUAUUGAACUCUUUUAUGUACACGUCUAUAAAUAGGUAGUGGAAAAAUUGCGCAGAGCUCAACGACCAAACGUGAAUUUCCUUGUUGGAAGAAAACGGUAAUAAUCAACUCUGUACAAUGAAAUUUUAUUGGAUGUUUGUUGAGCGACGCACAAUUAUUUCUUCAAAUGUUAAAUUCACGCUAUGAUUUUGAAUCAAUUUAACGAUUCCUUUGAUAGAUGGCACAAAAGAGAUCAGAUUUUUCUUAAAUUUUGUGCUGUUGUGCGUCAAAACAUUAAGGGUUUCAUUUAAAUUUAUUUUUAUGCUGUUGAGUCUUACCUCAUAAAUUUUGCAAGCUGUCCGUUUACAAGAAAGAAGGGGCCGAGAAAUUAUUCUUCAAUUUUCUGAGAACUCAAAAUAUUUAGAUAGGAUAUAAAAAUAUACAUCUUGUGUGGUUUUCAAAAAUUUUCAGACUUGAAUAGUGAUUGUCUUUUGCUUUUCAUUUUGCUGUCAAGAAUUUGGCUAUGGCUGUCAAUUAUUCAAAGGAAUCGAAAGGACCCUAAAAUCUAUGACCGAUAACCCCUUAAUAGGUACACGCACCUGUAGUACACUUGUGUAAACAAGUUUUUUGCUGCGUCACUGAGUCGAGAACUCCCGUGGAGUGGGUCUCUCUCAAUUAUUUUUUGUACAUUCGCACAAUACAUGAAAUUUUAACUUGCACCCCGCAGUUUAGAGAUCUAUUACAUGGUGCGCCCUGAAGGCUGAUUCUGAAAAUAAACCAUAUUUCAAAUAAGACAAAACGCAGUGAGUGCGCACAAAGUUUGUCAAUAAUAUUUUACGUGUUAAAUUCUUUUGCAAGGGAAGUAAAAAUCGCUCGUUGAAAAUUUUGUCUUUUUAUUUAUUCUUACUAAAUUUUGCUUUCAACUGC
Cloeon dipterum is the source of this 1955-nucleotide long non-coding RNA. RefSeq lists it as uncharacterized. Lineage: Eukaryota; Metazoa; Arthropoda; Insecta; Ephemeroptera; Baetidae. The record is from RefSeq and is a predicted model, not a curated record. The transcript has 4 exons.